This 240-nucleotide unclassified non-coding RNA is filed under the name soil metagenome. RNAcentral's name for it is "partial contains 5.8S ribosomal RNA, internal transcribed spacer 2, and large subunit ribosomal RNA". The record is from RNAcentral.
AACGGUCUAUACCUGCGGUACCUGCGGAAGGAUCAUUACUGAGUAACGUGGUCUUUUUAGACCCGCUACCCGCCCUUUGUCAUAUGUUGGACGAGGUCGUCUUUAGGGGCGGCCUCCGACCCCACUUCCCGGGAAGCGUUGCGCCUCAUCAGGUCUAGGCCUUUGAUGGGGAUUGGGGCCGCCCGGGGCCUUUUUCAAACCCUUUGUGAGAAAUCUGAAGUCUGAAGCGAAAGCUUAAAA